Molecule: ribosomal RNA, 1319 nt
Filed under: uncultured bacterium
Lineage: Bacteria
Description: bacterial SSU rRNA
Rfam family: Bacterial small subunit ribosomal RNA
Source: RNAcentral
GACGAACGCUGGCGGCGCGCCUAACACAUGCAAGUCGAACGGAGCUUAGAGAGCUUGCUUUUUAAGCUUAGUGGCGAACGGGUGAGUAACGCGUGAGUAACCUGCCCUAGAGUGGGGGACAACAGUUGGAAACGACUGCUAAUACCGCAUAAGCCCACGGUACCGCAUGGUGCUGAGGGAAAAGGAUUUAUUCGCUUUAGGAUGGACUCGCGUCCAAUUAGCUAGUUGGUGAGGUAACGGCCCACCAAGGCGACGAUUGGUAGCCGGACUGAGAGGUUGAACGGCCACAUUGGGACUGAGACACGGCCCAGACUCCUACGGGAGGCAGCAGUGGGGGAUAUUGCACAAUGGGGGAAACCCUGAUGCAGCGACGCCGCGUGGAGGAAGGAGGUUUUCGGAUUGUAAACUCCUGUCGUUAGGGACGAUAAUGACGGUACCUAACAAGAAAGCACCGGCUAACUACGUGCCAGCAGCCGCGGUAAAACGUAGGGUGCAAGCGUUGUCCGGAAUUACUGGGUGUAAAGGGAGCGCAGGCGGGAAGACAAGUUGGAAGUGAAAACCAUGGGCUCAACCCAUGAAUUGCUUUCAAAACUGUUUUUCUUGAGUAGUGCAGAGGUAGAUGGAAUUCCCAGUGUAGCGGUGGAAUGCGUAGAUAUCGGGAGGAACACCAGUGGCGAAGGCGGUCUACUGGGCACCAACUGACGCUGAGGCUCGAAAGCAUGGGUAGCAAACAGGAUUAGAUACCCUGGUAGUCCAUGCCGUAAACGAUGAUUAAUUAGGUGUUGGGGGAUUGACCCCCUCAGUGCCGCAGGUAACACAAUAAGUAAUCCACCUGGGGAGUACGACCGCAAGGUUGAAACUCAAAGGAAUUGACGGGGGCCCGCACAAGCAGUGGAGUAUGUGGUUUAAUUCGAAGCAACGCGAAGAACCUUACCAGGUCUUGACAUCCGAUGCAUAGCACAGAGAUGAGUGAAAUCCUUCGGGACAUCGAGACAGGUGGUGCAUGGUUGUCGUCAGCUCGUGUCGUGAGAUGUUGGGUUAAGUCCCGCAACGAGCGCAACCCUUAUUGCCAGUUACUACGUUAAGAGGACUCUGGCGAGACUGCCGUUGACAAAACGGAGGAAGGUGGGGAUGACGUCAAAUCAUCAUGCCCUUUAUGACCUGGGCUACACACGUACUACAAUGGCGUUAAACAAAGAGAAGCAAGACCGCGACGGUGGAGCAAAACUCAAAAACAACGUCUCAGUUCAGAUUGCAGGCUGCAACUCGCCUGCAUGAAGUCGGAAUUGCUAGUAAUCGCGGAUCAGCAUGCCGCGGCC